CUCCGAUCCGCACAAUUUCUUUUCUUGAUUAUAGCAAGAAAAUGCUCCCUGCCUGUGGCACUGCAUCCUCCCAGGAACAGGCAGCUGGCCGACAGUUGGGCUGUGCAGAGCCUGGGCAUGCCGGGGUUAUUCGCUGCUUCCAUCGCUUCACUUGGCAGAAAACGCUGCUUGCUGGCGUCUGUGCAGGAGAUGCAGCCAAGAACUGGGAUCCUGCUCCCUCUGCAUGCCCAGGCUGGCUGCCUCAGGAUGCCUGACCUCCUUUUGGGUGCUGAGGAAGGGAAAACUGCAAUUAGAAAGAUUUCUGAGCCUGGAUUUUUUUGGGAGGAAGGUGGCUGCCUGGUUUCUGAGCAUCACCACAACCAGGCCUGGAGGAGGAGGAGCCCUGUGCAGCAUCCCUGGAGGAAGAGGAACACUACAGCGUCCUUGGAAGGAGGGGAGCCCUGUGCAGCAUCCCUGGAAGUGACAACCUUUGCCAAAGCUUGCAGCCCACCACAUUGCACACAAGAUCUCACAGCCACCUCUGUGCUUCGCCAAGGCUUUUGCUGCCCAGCAGAAAGAACAAGGCUCUUCUCUCAUCCAAGCUGAGGCUGUUUCCCAGGCUGCUUGCCCUGAACACCUCCACCUCUGCCCUUUGCCAGCGACCCCUCUCCUUGGCCCAUGGAGCCCGUGGAUCUGCAAGCUCAGGGGAAGGAUAAGGAAAGGCUCACGACAGAAUGGCCCUUCGUGGAGCGCUCGAGCUGGAGAAAUAAGGUUAAAGGCUCUUAUCUGAUGGAGCUGCAGCCUUGCCAAAGCCUGUUGCUAUCAGCUCGGGACACAUGUGCUAUUGGCAAAGCUUCGGGGACACAAUAAUACAAACAGUUUUCAUUGUCGAGUCAACAAUGAUGGGAGAAGGAGCCUGGUGCUAUUACCGGUAUAAAAGGCACUGUAGGAAAGCUCAGGACAGGAGGAUGCAGUCGGGAUCAACAGCAGGGUUUAGCAGAUUACAGUUAUAUUUGUAUUCG
Molecule: long non-coding RNA, 1001 nt
Filed under: Chloebia gouldiae (Gouldian finch)
Lineage: Eukaryota; Metazoa; Chordata; Aves; Passeriformes; Passeridae
Description: Erythrura gouldiae (Gouldian finch) lncRNA (ENSEGOG00005007799.1)
Source: RNAcentral